Molecule: ribosomal RNA, 301 nt
Filed under: uncultured bacterium
Lineage: Bacteria
Description: partial 16S ribosomal RNA
Rfam family: Bacterial small subunit ribosomal RNA
Source: RNAcentral
CAGCCGCCGCGGUAAUACGUAGGGUGCAAGCGUUAAUCGGAAUUACUGGGCGUAAAGCGCACGCAGGCGGUCUGACAAGUCAGAUGUGAAAUCCCCGGGCUUAACCUGGGAACUGCAUUUGAAACUGUCAGGCUGGAGUCUUGUAGAGGGGGGUAGAAUUCCAGGUGUAGCGGUGAAAUGCGUAGAGAUCUGGAGGAAUACCGGUGGCGAAGGCGGCCCCCUGGACAAAGACUGACGCUCAGGUGCGAAAGCGUGGGGAGCAAACAGGAUUAGAUACCCCUGUAGUCCCUGUCUCUUAUAC